CUGCAUUCUGCUCAGGACUAAUUCGAGAAUUGCCUCUGUAUCCAUAACAUGCUAGAGGAAAAUAAGGAGUCUUCAGGGCUGCCAGUCUUGCAGGAAAGGCUGAGUGGUAGUAUAUGUCUCCUACAUUU
Molecule: small nucleolar RNA, 128 nt
Organism: Pelodiscus sinensis (Chinese soft-shelled turtle)
Lineage: Eukaryota; Metazoa; Chordata; Testudines; Trionychidae
Product: small nucleolar RNA U109
Source: Ensembl